UACUGUAGGUCUGCGUGGGUUUCUAGCCUCCGGGUUGGGAGCAUUCUGCAGGCUUAUGUAUACUAUAAACACUUUAAAGUAACAGAAUGUAAACGCGUCUAACGCAUUUUAAUACAACUUUCAGCAACGGAUCUCUUGGCUCUCGCAUCGAUGAAGAACGCAGCGAAAUGCGAUAAGUAAUGUGAAUUGCAGAAUUCAGUGAAUCAUCGAAUCUUUGAACGCACCUUGCGCUCCUUGGUAUUCCGAGGAGCAUGCCUGUUUGAGUGUCAUGAAAUUCUCAACCCAUAAAUCCUUGUGGAAGUAUGGGCUUGGAUUUGGAGGUUUGCUGGGUCCCCUGGGGUCCGGCUCCUCUCGAACGCAUUAGCUUGAUUCCGUGCGGAUCGGCUCUCAGUGUGAUAAUUAUCUACGCUGUGACCGUGAAGCGUUUGGCGAGCUUCCAACCGUCUUUUUUGGACAACCUUAUGACAUCUGACCUCAAAUCAGGUAGGACUACCCGCUGAACUUAAGCAUAUCA
Molecule: ribosomal RNA, 514 nt
Filed under: Trametes gibbosa
Lineage: Eukaryota; Fungi; Basidiomycota; Agaricomycetes; Polyporales; Polyporaceae
Description: eukaryotic LSU rRNA
Rfam family: 5.8S ribosomal RNA (bases 116-269)
Source: RNAcentral